This 207-nucleotide long non-coding RNA is filed under the name Sus scrofa (pig). RNAcentral describes it as "lncRNA (ENSSSCG00070018468.1)". The record is from RNAcentral. Lineage: Eukaryota; Metazoa; Chordata; Mammalia; Artiodactyla; Suidae.
GCGUGGAAAAACAAACGUAAGCCCAGGUGCCCGCGCACCCGGAAGGAGAGAAUGCGGGAAGCGAACAGAUUUCAUCUCCAGAUUCACUCUAUAAUGUCAAGAUGACUCCCAGCUGCUGCUGGGCCAGGAGUCUUCUUUUUCCAUAUCCAGCAGGAUAAAGUGGGAAAUGACUCUCAGGAAUCCAGGAAAAGUUAGCAGCUCACUCCG